RNAcentral lists this ribosomal RNA (462 nucleotides) under uncultured bacterium. RNAcentral describes it as "bacterial SSU rRNA". It matches the Rfam family "Bacterial small subunit ribosomal RNA", at positions 96 to 592 of the family's 1533-position model. The record is from RNAcentral.
CGGCGGACGGCUGAGUAACGACGUGGGAACGUCCCAAAGUGAGGAAUAAACUGCCCGAAAGGGUAGCUAAUGCCGCAUAUGAUCUUCGGAUUAAAGUCUUCGGGCUUUGGGAGCGGCCCGCGUCGGAUUAGGUAGUUGGUGAGGUAAUGGCUCACCAAGCCGACGAUCCGUAGCUGGUCUGAGAGGAUGAUCAGCCAGACUGGAACUGAGACACCGGUCCAGACUCCUACGGGAGGCAGCAGUGAGGAAUCUUCCACAAUGGGGGCAACCCUGAUGGAGUCUUCGCCGCGUGCAGGAUGAAGGCCUUCGGGUUGUAAACUGCUUUUAUAAGUGAAGAAUAUGACGGUAACUUAUGAAUAAGCACCGGCUAAACUACGUGCCGCAGCCGCGGUCUACGUAGGGUGCCAGCUUAUCCGGAGUGACUGGGCGUAAAGAGUUGCGUAGGUGGUUUGUUAAGUAGGU